GAUGAACGCUGGCGGCGUGCCUAAUACAUGCAAGUCGAGCGAACAGACGAGGAGCUUGCUCCUUCGACGUUAGCGGCGGACGGGUGAGUAACACGUAGGUAACCUACCUAUAAGACUGGGAUAACUUCGGGAAACCGGAGCUAAUACCGGAUAAUAUUUCGAACCGCAUGGUUCGAUAGUGAAAGAUGGCUUUGCUAUCACUUAUAGAUGGACCUGCGCCGUAUUAGCUAGUUGGUAAGGUAACGGCUUACCAAGGCAACGAUACGUAGCCGACCUGAGAGGGUGAUCGGCCACACUGGAACUGAGACACGGUCCAGACUCCUACGGGAGGCAGCAGUAGGGAAUCUUCCGCAAUGGGCGAAAGCCUGACGGAGCAACGCCGCGUGAGUGAUGAAGGUCUUCGGAUCGUAAAACUCUGUUAUUAGGGAAGAACAAACGUGUAAGUAGCUGUGCACGUCUUGACGGUACCUAAUCAGAAAGCCACGGCUAACUACGUG
This 497-nucleotide ribosomal RNA is filed under the name uncultured bacterium. RNAcentral's name for it is "partial 16S ribosomal RNA". It matches the Rfam family "Bacterial small subunit ribosomal RNA", at positions 28 to 507 of the family's 1533-position model. The record is from RNAcentral.